Cavia porcellus (domestic guinea pig) is the source of this 632-nucleotide non-coding RNA. NCBI's taxonomy places the organism in Eukaryota, Metazoa, Chordata, Mammalia, Rodentia, Caviidae. The record is from the annotation of a RefSeq genome assembly.
GUCAGGCAGAGCUCCAGCCACCUGGGAGACCACAGACCACGGGGUUGGCACUGAGCCCUGGCUGCAGCAGGAAUGGACAGGAUUCUGGGAGCAUCAAUUCUGAUUCUCGGCCUUCAGAGGGCAUGGGUGAGUGGCCAACAGAAGGAUAAAGGUGACCAGCAACAGGUGAAGCAAAAUCCUCUGUAUUUAACAGUCCAGGAAGGAGAGACUUCAAUUCUGAACUGCACAUAUGAGAACAGUGCAUUUAACUAUUUUGCAUGGUACAGGCACCUCCCUAGGGGUAAAGGUCUUGAACUUCUGAUAGCCAUUCGAUCAGUUGUGAAUGAAAAUGAAGACGGAAGAUUCAAAGUACUGCUCAAGAAAAAUGACCAAGAGCUCUCUUUGCAUAUCAGGACUUCUCAGCUAGGAGACUCAGCCACCUACUUCUGUGCAGCAGGAGCACAGUGCUCCCCAGACAGCUGCAGCCUGUGCACAAACCUGCCCUCGCUGCUCUAGCAAGACCUGCCCCAGACUUGGGCUCUGAGUGAUAGAGGAUAGCUUUUCUCUAUACAAACAGUUAAAAAUGGAUAUCCAUAAAUUCACUAGUGUGGUAGUACCAUAGGGUGGUCUCUGAACUAAAUAAAAUAAAAUUA